Molecule: ribosomal RNA, 794 nt
Filed under: bacterium C04
Lineage: Bacteria
Description: bacterial SSU rRNA
Rfam family: Bacterial small subunit ribosomal RNA
Source: RNAcentral
AGUUUGAUCCUGGCUCAGAUUGAACGCUGGCGGCAGGCUUACACAUGCAAGUCGAGCGGAGCGAGGGUGCUUGCCCUUAGCUUAGCGGCGGACGGGUGAGUAAUGCUUAGGAAUCUGCCUAUUAGUGGGGACAACAUUCCGAAAGGAAUGCUAAUACCGCAUACGCCCUACGGGGGAAAGCAGGGGAUCUUCGGACCUUGCGCUAAUAGAUGAGCCUAAGUCAGGUUAGCUAGUUGGUGGGGUAAAGGCCUACCAAGGCGACGAUCUGUAGCGGGUCUGAGAGGAUGAUCCGCCACACUGGGACUGAGACACGGCCCAGACUCCUACGGGAGGCAGCAGUGGGGAAUAUUGGACAAUGGGCGAAAGCCUGAUCCAGCCAUGCCGCGUGUGUGAAGAAGGCCUUUUGGUUGUAAAGCACUUUAAGCGAGGAGGAGGCUACUUGGAUUAAUACUCUAGGAUAGUGGACGUUACUCGCAGAAUAAGCACCGGCUAACUCUGCGCCAGCAGCCGCGGUAAUACAGAGGGUGCGAGCGUUAAUCGGAUUUACUGGGCGUAAAGCGUGCGUAGGCGGCUUUUUAAGUCGGAUGUGAAAUCCCUGAGCUUAACUUAGGAAUUGCAUUCGAUACUGGGAAGCUAGAGUAUGGGAGAGGAUGGUAGAAUUCCAGGUGUAGCGGUGAAAUGCGUAGAGAUCUGGAGGAAUACCGAUGGCGAAGGCAGCCAUCUGGCCUAAUACUGACGCUGAGGUACGAAAGCAUGGGGAGCAAACAGGAUUAGAUACCCUGGUAGUCCAAUCC